This 301-nucleotide ribosomal RNA is filed under the name uncultured bacterium. RNAcentral describes it as "partial 16S ribosomal RNA". It matches the Rfam family "Bacterial small subunit ribosomal RNA", at positions 509 to 807 of the family's 1533-position model. The record is from RNAcentral.
CAGUAGCCGCGGUAAUACGUAGGGUGCGAGCGUUAAUCGGAAUUACUGGGCGUAAAGCGUGCGCAGGCGGUUUUGUAAGACAGAGGUGAAAUCCCCGGGCUCAACCUGGGAACUGCCUUUGUGACUGCAAGGCUAGAGUACGGCAGAGGGGGAUGGAAUUCCGCGUGUAGCAGUGAAAUGCGUAGAUAUGCGGAGGAACACCGAUGGCGAAGGCAAUCCCCUGGGCCUGUACUGACGCUCAUGCACGAAAGCGUGGGGAGCAAACAGGAUUAGAUACCCGGGUAGUCCCUGUCUCUUAUAC